This 204-nucleotide microRNA precursor is filed under the name Oryza barthii. Its description in RNAcentral is "MIR812 microRNA precursor family". It matches the Rfam family "MIR812 microRNA precursor family". The record is from Rfam by way of RNAcentral. Lineage: Eukaryota; Viridiplantae; Streptophyta; Magnoliopsida; Poales; Poaceae.
AAAAUGACAAACCCUGGGUUUCCGUGUCCAACUUUGACUAUCCGUCUUAUAUGAAAUUUUUUUAUAAUUCAUAUUUUUAUUGUUGUUAGAUGAUAAAACAUGAUUAAUAUUUUAUGCGUGACUUGUCUUUUUAAUUUUUUUCAUAAUUUUUUAAAUAAGACGAACGGUCAAAUAUUGGGCACGGAAAUCAGGGUUUGUCUUUUU